GUCGGUUCCAGACCCCAGUGCUCCUCUUCCCGCUACUGCUAUCAACACAUGAACAAUUCCUAAAUAAAGAAUGCGAAACCUUCUUCUGGUAAAUUGAAGAAGAAGUGAUCAAUUCGUUUGGGUUAGUCAAUUGAAGUGUAGCCAUUUUGCUGUUUCGUCGGAAACUCGGUCCCCUAACAGUGGAGAGUGGAGAAGGUUUUUUAGGGUUUUAGGGAUUUCUUCAAUUUCAAUUUCAUUUCCAUUUUCCGCGAAAGAGUUUGGAAGAAAGAAACGAAUAAAAGAUUGGUGGGCCAUU
This 295-nucleotide long non-coding RNA is filed under the name Carica papaya (papaya). Its description in RNAcentral is "long non-coding RNA (CPAP_LNC015040)". The record is from RNAcentral. Lineage: Eukaryota; Viridiplantae; Streptophyta; Magnoliopsida; Brassicales; Caricaceae.